Molecule: ribosomal RNA, 2531 nt
Filed under: Campylobacter jejuni
Lineage: Bacteria; Pseudomonadati; Campylobacterota; Epsilonproteobacteria; Campylobacterales; Campylobacteraceae
Description: partial 23S ribosomal RNA
Rfam family: Bacterial large subunit ribosomal RNA
Source: RNAcentral
CCAUUUGCUUACAAUCAUUCAGAGCCCUAUGUAGCAAUACAGGGUGAUGGACUGCCUUUUGCAUAAUGAGCCUGCGAGUUGUGGUGUCUGGCAAGGUUAAGCAAACGCGAAGCCGUAGCGAAAGCGAGUCUGAAUAGGGCGCUUAGUCAGAUGCUGCAGACCCGAAACGAAGUGAUCUAUCCAUGAGCAAGUUGAAGCUAGUGUAAGAACUAGUGGAGGACUGAACCCAUAGGCGUUGAAAAGCCCCGGGAUGACUUGUGGAUAGGGGUGAAAGGCCAAUCAAACUUCGUGAUAGCUGGUUCUCUCCGAAAUAUAUUUAGGUAUAGCGUUGUGUCGUAAUAUAAGGGGGUAGAGCACUGAAUGGGCUAGGGCAUACACCAAUGUACCAAACCCUAUCAAACUCCGAAUACCUUAUAUGUAAUCACAGCAGUCAGGCGGCGAGUGAUAAAAUCCGUCGUCAAGAGGGAAACAACCCAGACUACCAGCUAAGGUCCCUAAAUCUUACUUAAGUGGAAAACGAUGUGAAGUUACUUAAACAACCAGGAGGUUGGCUUAGAAGCAGCCAUCCUUUAAAGAAAGCGUAAUAGCUCACUGGUCUAGUGAUUUUGCGCGGAAAAUAUAACGGGGCUAAAGUAAGUACCGAAGCUGUAGACUUGCGCACAACUUAGAUUAUUUAAGUUUAGAAUAUGAGAAACUAAGUUAUGUUUAGUUAUAUUUUUACUGAUUUUUAUAGAGUAAAGAUAGAAAUAAAACUUAGUAAAAUCAGUAAAAAUAUUCUUAGGCUAAAGUUAAGUAGUUUAAGUUGUGUGCAAGUGGUAGGAGAGCGUUCUAUUUGCGUCGAAGGUAUACCGGUAAGGAGUGCUGGAGCGAAUAGAAGUGAGCAUGCAGGCAUGAGUAGCGAUAAUUAAUGUGAGAAUCAUUAACGCCGUAAACCCAAGGUUUCCUACGCGAUGCUCGUCAUCGUAGGGUUAGUCGGGUCCUAAGUCGAGUCCGAAAGGGGUAGACGAUGGCAAAUUGGUUAAUAUUCCAAUACCAACAUUAGUGUGCGAUGGAAGGACGCUUAGGGCUAAGGGGGCUAGCGGAUGGAAGUGCUAGUCUAAGGUCGUAGGAGGUUAUACAGGCAAAUCCGUAUAACAAUACUCCGAGAACUGAAAGGCUUUUUGAAGUCUUCGGAUGGAUAGAAGAACCCCUGAUGCCGUCGAGCCAAGAAAAGUUUCUAAGUUUAGCUAAUGUUGCCCGUACCGUAAACCGACACAGGUGGGUGGGAUGAGUAUUCUAAGGCGCGUGGAAGAACUCUCUUUAAGGAACUCUGCAAAAUAGCACCGUAUCUUCGGUAUAAGGUGUGGUUAGCUUUGUAUUAGGAUUUACUCCGAAAGCAAGGAAACUUACAACAAAGAGUCCCUCCCGACUGUUUACCAAAAACACAGCACUCUGCUAACUCGUAAGAGGAUGUAUAGGGUGUGACGCCUGCCCGGUGCUCGAAGGUUAAUUGAUGGGGUUAGCAUUAGCGAAGCUCUUGAUCGAAGCCCGAGUAAACGGCGGCCGUAACUAUAACGGUCCUAAGGUAGCGAAAUUCCUUGUCGGUUAAAUACCGACCUGCAUGAAUGGCGUAACGAGAUGGGAGCUGUCUCAAAGAGGGAUCCAGUGAAAUUGUAGUGGAGGUGAAAAUUCCUCCUACCCGCGGCAAGACGGAAAGACCCCGUGGACCUUUACUACAGCUUGACACUGCUACUUGGAUAAGAAUGUGCAGGAUAGGUGGGAGGCUUUGAGUAUAUGACGCCAGUUGUAUAUGAGCCAUUGUUGAGAUACCACUCUUUCUUAUUUGGGUAGCUAACCAGCUUGAGUUAUCCUCAAGUGGGACAAUGUCUGGUGGGUAGUUUGACUGGGGCGGUCGCCUCCCAAAUAAUAACGGAGGCUUACAAAGGUUGGCUCAGAACGGUUGGAAAUCGUUCGUAGAGUAUAAAGGUAUAAGCCAGCUUAACUGCAAGACAUACAAGUCAAGCAGAGACGAAAGUCGGUCUUAGUGAUCCGGUGGUUCUGUGUGGAAGGGCCAUCGCUCAAAGGAUAAAAGGUACCCCGGGGAUAACAGGCUGAUCUCCCCCAAGAGCUCACAUCGACGGGGAGGUUUGGCACCUCGAUGUCGGCUCAUCGCAUCCUGGGGCUGGAGCAGGUCCCAAGGGUAUGGCUGUUCGCCAUUUAAAGCGGUACGCGAGCUGGGUUCAGAACGUCGUGAGACAGUUCGGUCCCUAUCUGCCGUGGGCGUAAGAAGAUUGAAGAGAUUUGACCCUAGUACGAGAGGACCGGGUUGAACAAACCACUGGUGUAGCUGUUGUUCUGCCAAGAGCAUCGCAGCGUAGCUAAGUUUGGAAAGGAUAAACGCUGAAAGCAUCUAAGCGUGAAGCCAACUCUAAGAUGAAUCUUCUCUAAGCUCUCUAGAAGACUACUAGUUUGAUAGGCUGGGUGUGUAAUGGAUGAAAGUCCUUUAGCUGACCAGUACUAAUAGAGCGUUUGGCUUAUCUUUAAUAAAGCAU